This is a long non-coding RNA of Mus musculus (house mouse), 1216 nucleotides long. RefSeq annotates it as predicted gene, 40131. NCBI's taxonomy places the organism in Eukaryota, Metazoa, Chordata, Mammalia, Rodentia, Muridae. The record is from RefSeq and is a predicted model, not a curated record. The transcript is spliced from 4 exons.
GUGUGUGUGUGUGUGUGUGAUUACAGGGUUUAUCUUCUGUGCACACACAACUCAAAUUCCUGAUAUUUCUGCAUGUCAUGUCCAAACAUGUCCAAACAUUUUCUUCUUGGAAGGAGACUGCAGCACUUAACCUAAACACCUCAUUUUAACUUUUGACUUAUAUCUUCUAAGACACCGUCUCUCAACAGUCACAUUCUACUGUGGUAGAGGUUUAAAUCAAGUUUGAACAUAGGAAUUUGGUGGUAUGGUAGGCAGGAUCGGCUCCCAGUCUCAUACAUGGUCACUCUUGUAGAGAUGACUAGAAACUCUGUCUCUCUUACUAGGACAAUAUUUCUGUGAUAAGGGCAAUAUAAAGUGAAUUACUAUUGUUUAUUUUUUUUCAGCCCUUAGGACUAUGAAAUCAUCAAGUUGACCAAAGUGUGUCCUGACUCCUGUAUCAGCUCUCUCUGCAGGAGACUGAAGCUUGUGGGGACAAAAGACCUUUUGUAAGCCUAAGGAUGGAUUUCUGAGACACUGCCAAUCCUGCUACAAAGCCUUCAUGACUAGCUUGUCUUCAGUGCCUGGCCACUCACUGUGCAGGGACAUUCCCAAACCUGUCAGCUUGUCUUUGGUUUUACAGUUCUUUCUAGCAAACAUCAGUGCUUUUCUCUGUCUUUCAGAUGUUGAAAGUCACAAGUUGCACAGUGGUUAUGUUUUUAUUUUAUGUAAGGAUUAUUUCUAUUUUGGGCAUUCGCUGACAGCUCCUUUGGAACAGUGCUGUAACAAACCUAUUGGAACUUGGCUUUAUGGAGAAUAAAACAAGCCUGAGAAUGAUUUUUGCCUAUUAAGUGGAAGGUCAAACUCUAUCUAAUCCUACAAUGGCUGACUGUGAAUGGAAAAGUCCAAGAAUCCAGUAGUUUCUCAGCCUACAAGGCUUGUUGUUGCAGCUGGUCUUCAGUAUAUUCUGCAUUUGCCAAGAAGUAGGACCCGAUCCCAAUGAAGGUAUGGACAUGCCAGCGAGGUGAAUACAAGCAGGUAAAAGAUUCUAGUCCAGUCAUCAUCAGAGAUGUUUCUUCUGGCAGCUGAUGGGGACACAUGCAGAGUCCCACAGCCAAAUAUUAGUUGGAGAGGAGAGAAAGAGAGUAAAAGGUUGACUCUAACAGGGCAGUGGUGGCGCACACCUUUGAUUCCAGCACUUGGGAGGUGGAGGCCGGCAGAUUUCUGAGUUUGAGGCCAG